Molecule: ribosomal RNA, 305 nt
Filed under: uncultured bacterium
Lineage: Bacteria
Description: bacterial SSU rRNA
Rfam family: Bacterial small subunit ribosomal RNA
Source: RNAcentral
UUUGUCCUACGGAAGGCAGCAGUUAGGAAUAUUCGUCAAUGGGGGAAACCCUGAACGAGCAAUGCCGCGUGAAGGAUGACGGUCCUAUGGAUUGUAAACUUCUGUUGUUAGGGAAGAACGACCUAAGUAGGAAAUGACUUAGGAGUGACGGUACCUUUCAAGAAAGCUCCGGCUAACUACGUGCCAGCAGCCGCGGUAAUACGUAGGUGGCAAGCGUUAUCCGGAUUUAUUGGGUGUAAAGGGCGUGUAGGCGGGAAUGCAAGUCAGAUGUGAAAACUCAGGGCUCAACCCUGAGCCUGCAUUUG